GUGUCAGCCGCCGCGGUAACACGUAGGGGGCGAGCGUUGUCCGGAUUUAUUGGGCGUAAAGAGCUCGUAGGCGGUUCGCUAAGUCGGGUGUGAAACCUCCAGGCUCAACCUGGAGACGCCACCUGAUACUGGUGUGACUAGAGUCCGGUAGGGGAGUGUGGAACUCCUGGUGUAGCGGUGAAAUGCGCAGAUAUCAGGAAGAACACCAGCGGCGAAGGCGGCACUCUGGGCCGGUACUGACGCUGAGGAGCGAAAGCGUGGGUAGCAAACAGGAUUAGAUACCCGCGUAGUCC
Molecule: ribosomal RNA, 293 nt
Filed under: uncultured bacterium
Lineage: Bacteria
Description: partial 16S ribosomal RNA
Rfam family: Bacterial small subunit ribosomal RNA
Source: RNAcentral